RNAcentral lists this non-coding RNA (28 nucleotides) under Rattus norvegicus (Norway rat). Lineage: Eukaryota; Metazoa; Chordata; Mammalia; Rodentia; Muridae. The record is from RNAcentral.
UGACAUUGAACCAGACAAAAGGAUUAUG